GUUUCCGUAGGUGAACCUGCGGAAGGAUCAUUGUCGAAACCUGCCCAGCAGAACGACCCGCGAACAUGUGAUAUAAACCUCGGGAGCGUCCGGGCCUCGUGCCGGGGCGCUCCCGCCCGCCUCGUGGGCGUUGGCCGUUCGCUUCGCGCGCGUCCUCGCCCCCGCGGCCCAACAACGAACCCCGGCGCGGACUGCGCCAAGGAAAACUAAACGAGGGAGCCCGCUCCCGCGGCCCCGGACACGGUGCGCCUGCGGGAUGCGUGGCCUUCUUUAUCUGAAACAAAACGACUCUCGGCAACGGAUAUCUCGGCUCUCGCAUCGAUGAAGAACGUAGCGAAAUGCGAUACUUGGUGUGAAUUGCAGAAUCCCGUGAACCAUCGAGUCUUUGAACGCAAGUUGCGCCCCAAGCCGUUAGGCCGAGGGCACGUCUGCCUGGGUGUCACGCAUCGUUGCCCCCCACAAAACAUGCCAAUGUGCUUGUGGUUGUGGUGAGCGUAGAUUGGCCUCCCGUGCGCUGGCGCUCGCGGUUGGCCCAAAUUUGAGUUCUCGGAGACGAGUCCCGCGACUAUCGGUGGUGUUUAUGAAACGGCCUCGAGAUCCCGUCGCGCGGUCGCGUCUCUCCCGCAGGACUCUGUGACCCUGACGUAGCGUCGCCUUGACGCUCGCAUCGCGACCCCAGGUCAG
This 684-nucleotide ribosomal RNA is filed under the name Operculicarya decaryi. Its description in RNAcentral is "eukaryotic LSU rRNA". The stretch from base 287 to 442 matches the Rfam family "5.8S ribosomal RNA". Lineage: Eukaryota; Viridiplantae; Streptophyta; Magnoliopsida; Sapindales; Anacardiaceae. The record is from RNAcentral.